This 481-nucleotide ribosomal RNA is filed under the name uncultured bacterium. RNAcentral's name for it is "partial 16S ribosomal RNA". It matches the Rfam family "Bacterial small subunit ribosomal RNA", at positions 28 to 522 of the family's 1533-position model. The record is from RNAcentral.
GACGAACGCUGGCGGCGUGCUUUACACAUGCAAGUCGAACGAUGAAGAAGAGCUUGCUCUUCGGAUUAGUGGCGGACGGGUGAGUAACACGUGACUAACCUGCCCCUUUCUCUGGGAUAACGCUCCGAAAGGAGUGCUAAUACCGGAUACUCACAUCGAGGCACAUGCCUUGAUGUGGCAAGUUUUUCGGAAAGGGAUGGAGUCGCGGCCUAUCAGGUUGUUGGUGAGGUAACGGCUCACCAAGGCGACGACGGGUAGCCGGCCUGAGAGGGCGACCGGCCACACUGGGACUGAGACACGGCCCAGACUCCUACGGGAGGCAGCAGUGGGGAAUAUUGCACAAUGGGCGAAAGCCUGAUGCAGCGACGCCGCGUGAGGGAUGAAGGUCUUCGGAUUGUAAACCUCUUUCAGUAGGGACGAAGCGAAAGUGACGGUACCUAAAGAAGAAGCACCGGCUAACUACGUGCCAGCCGCCGCCGAA